UACACUCCUACGGGAGGCAGCAGUGGGGAAUAUUGCACAAUGGGCGCAAGCCUGAUGCAGCCAUGCCGCGUGUAUGAAGAAGGCCUUCGGGUUGUAAAGUACUUUCAGCGGGGAGGAAGGCGAUAAGGUUAAUAACCUUGUCGAUUGACGUUACCCGCAGAAGAAGCACCGGCUAACUCCGUGCCAGCAGCCGCGGUAAUACGGAGGGUGCAAGCGUUAAUCGGAAUUACUGGGCGUAAAGCGCACGCAGGCGGUCUGUCAAGUCGGAUGUGAAAUCCCCGGGCUCAACCUGGGAACUGCAUUCGAAACUGGCAGGCUAGAGUCUUGUAGAGGGGGGUAGAAUUCCAGGUGUAGCGGUGAAAUGCGUAGAGAUCUGGAGGAAUACCGGUGGCGAAGGCGGCCCCCUGGACAAAGACUGACGCUCAGGUGCGAAAGCGUGGGGAGCAAACAGGAUUAGAAACCCCAGUAGUCCCAUG
This 476-nucleotide ribosomal RNA is filed under the name uncultured organism. RNAcentral describes it as "partial 16S ribosomal RNA". It matches the Rfam family "Bacterial small subunit ribosomal RNA", at positions 332 to 799 of the family's 1533-position model. The record is from RNAcentral.